CUUGCUGGUGGAUUAGUGGCGAACGGGUGAGUAACACGUGAGUAACCUGCCCUUGACUCUGGGAUAAGCCUGGGAAACUGGGUCUAAUACCGGAUAUGACCUUCCAUCGCAUGGUGGUUGGUGGAAAGCUUUUGUGGUUUUGGAUGGACUCGCGGCCUAUCAGCUUGUUGGUGGGGUAAUGGCCUACCAAGGCGACGACGGGUAGCCGGCCUGAGAGGGUGACCGGCCACACUGGGACUGAGACACGGCCCAGACUCCUACGGGAGGCAGCAGUGGGGAAUAUUGCACAAUGGGCGCAAGCCUGAUGCANCGNCNCCGCGUGAGGGANGACGGCCUUCGGGUUGUAAACCUCUUUCAGUAGGGAAGAAGCGUAAGUGACGGUACCUGCAGAAGAAGCGCCGGCUAACUACGUGCCAGCAGCCGCGGUAAUACGUAGGGCGCAAGCGUUAUCCGGAAUUAUUGGGCGUAAAGAGCUCGUAGGCGGUUUGUCGCGUCUGCCGUGAAAGUCCGGGGCUCAACUCCGGAUCUGCGGUGGGUACGGGCAGACUAGAGUGAUGUAGGGGAGACUGGAAUUCCUGGUGUAGC
This 585-nucleotide ribosomal RNA is filed under the name Arthrobacter sp. TN162A. RNAcentral describes it as "bacterial SSU rRNA". It matches the Rfam family "Bacterial small subunit ribosomal RNA", at positions 80 to 679 of the family's 1533-position model. The record is from RNAcentral. Lineage: Bacteria; Bacillati; Actinomycetota; Actinomycetes; Micrococcales; Micrococcaceae.